GCUGAACUCUGCGGCUGAGCAGGGCCUGGCUACAGGCCGCCUCCCCGCGCCCAUCUGCCUCCCUCCUCGGGGCCCAUCCAGCUCCUGGCCGGGCCACAUCCUUGUCCCCACCGGCCUGUGAUUGAGCGGAGCUGUGCCCAGCUGGGCAGCCUGGGGGCAGGCGGGGGAGGGCUGGUGUUCUCAGCCCACAGAGACCUUCCGUGUCUGGUUUCCGGCCUCAGUGGGCUGGGCCCUGGGUGUGUCCCCUGUUCCUGUGAAGCCCUGUUCCCCCUGGGAUGGUCAGAGCGGGUCUCGGGUGCCCAGGGACAGGUGGGGACCCAGGCUGGGAUGAGUCCGUGUAAGGGGAUGCCAGAACCCACCGGCCGCCUCCACAGGGGCCAUGGGAAGGUGGCCAUCCACAGCCCCACAAGGGCCCCCCAACCUCAGGCUGGCAGCCUCCUGCAAAGCGCGGAAACUGAAGUGCUCCCGCACUCCCGAGGUGUCCAGCUGGCGCGGCACAGGGCCUGGCCCCGGCAGCAGCCCCAGGGACAAGGAGGGGGCGGGGGCGCUGAGCGGCCAGCCCUCCCCCCCGUGGGAGCCACCGGCGGCUACGCGGCACUGCAGUCAGGUCCGCCUGCUUCGGACGUGACCCACAGUAAACCUACCUGCGCCUCCCGCCGUCUGCCCAGGGGCGCCCCGGCCUCCCUGCGGAGAAGGCGUGCGCCCCUCCAGCCUGUCGGGAAGCCAGCGUUCCCCUGGGUGGCGGGAGGUGUUCUCAAGCCCAGAGAGCCGGACUCCUCGAGCAAAGCAGCAGAGACAGGCAGUUUCCGUCCCCGGCUGAAGCCGAACUGCCCCGCCCCGCAGUCCAGAGCCGCCCCUGGGGCUGAACUCCAAGUGUGGCUGGGCCGGCAGGGCUUCUGAGCUCCUGGGCAGGAGCCACGGGCACAGCACCCGGGAACCUUGGACGGCCGUGCAGCCACCCCUGUUCCAGGUGCCCCUGUCCCCCUCAUCCCAGCUUCUGCCCCCAUGUGGUCACAUGGGACGCUUGGGGACCAGAGCUGGGCAGAAGUGGUCACCCCCUGGGCGCUGGGAAACCACAUCCACUGUGAGGAGAGGACUUACUUGCAAGAAAAAAUAAAGCCAACUUGAAGAGGUGAGGACCGGAAGCAGAGGGUGGCCCUGGCUCGUGCACGGCCUGUCACCUCAAGGGCCUCCGGGGAUGGCGGGGCCUUCACAGUGGACUUCUGUCCUUGCGACAAAGCCCCAACUAAGACAGCAGACGAGGUCGUGCCCUGAGCAUUUCAGAGCCUGGGUUCUGGGACAGGACGAGACCAGGCAUUCAGGCUUAGCCUCAGGAAGGUGCGACCGUGCCCAACCCUGUCCACACGGUGUCCCUGCAGGGCACCUACUAGGGUGCUCGCUGCACAGGGCCGGCUCUGCGCGGCAGCCUGUCACCUGGGGCACGGCCUGGCGCUGCUCACGGCGCCCCCUCUCCCCUGCCUCCCGCGUCUGUCAAGCAGCUAUUUCUCCGUAGGUUUGAUUGCAGUCGUUUCUAUUUCUCAAAAUUCUUGACCCUGAUAAGCACCUUUCUGGGUGGAGGGGGAGCAGUGAGGGGGAGGGGUUCACCCUUAAUUUGUCCACUAGGCAUGCUGUGUAAUGGUUACUUCCAAAGCUGGUGACUUCAAGCAACGUUCAGGCAAUAAAUUUAUCAUCACCUAAAGCUUCUGAGUCAGGAACCCGAGUGCCUAGCUGCGUGGUGCCCGGUCCCCUGCGGACCACGGGCUGCGUCUGAAGGCUUCCCCCGGCCAGCUGUUGCUUCCCAGAGGGCGCCUCCUGCUGCGGGCGAGGCUGCGGCCGCAGCGUCCUGGCGUGGCAGGGCCCCCCACCCAGCGGUCUGGGAACCUUGCCUUCCAGGCCUGUUGACCUCACUCAAGCCUCUUCUGGCCCUUACCCGUCCGAAAUGCGCCCUGUAGACCGGCCCACCCCCGGAGAACUGGGCUCACCCUUUUGAGGGUGAGAUAGUCCACGAACUUGCACAUCUACUCUUAAAACCAUUACCCUUAACUUUAAGACCAAUUUCUUGUCAUUUCCCUGGAGACGGAACCAAGUCUCCCCUUGGAUCUGAUUUCCUAUCGUGCGCUCAUCUUAACAGGUAUCUCCCAGAGGGAGGCGCUCCCCAGCGCUCCCGGGAAUCCCUCCGGGUCUCCAUCAGAUGCUUCGAGGAGCAGAGAGAAAACUGCAGCCCCGUCCCGGGAGACCUGAGGGCGGCGUGGAUGUGUGCAGACCUGCCAACAGCCCAGAGGCAGCUGGGCAGGGGGCCCCCAGGAAGCUUCCGUGUGCCCGGACGCCGCCGACUACAGGCAGCGUCCACAGGCCGCGCUCGGCGCUGACCUCACCCACAGGACCCCGCCGCCCCGAGCUCGCCCGCGGAGGCUACUGAAGGACGCCUGCUAAGCCUUUGUGAAGCUUAAGACGUGCCGUCCCUUCCCUUUUUAUCCCAGCACUUACCGCAAGCCGAGCACACAGCAGGCAACUAUUUUAAAAACAUGGGAAGCAGAUUCCUGCCUGGCGAUUAUCCAGACUCCCCGUAGCGAAGCCCCUCCACCUGCCUCGUAUCCACCACAGGGAAUGCCUUCCAGCGGAUUUCCUGAUGCACAGCCUCCCAGAGACCCCCCGCUCUGCGGAGCAUCAGGCUCCAGGUAAGCCAAGAGCUUCAGUUCAGUCCUCAAAGCCCCCUGUAGAAUUGAGUGUCUGGGGCUGCAGACCCCACUACGUAAUGAGGAAGAACAAGAUGACCUCCUCCCAGAGAUCACAUGUCCCGAAGAGGUCCGACGCCACAGCAACGGCCUUCACCCAGUGUCCCUCCACCCCAGCCGCACCCAGCUCCCCGGAAACUCGCAGGCCUGGCCCUGAGGGGCACAGGGGUGCGCACACCCAUGCACAAAUUUCCCCAAACUCAGAAAUGAAACCAUUCAUUGGCAAUGGGGUGGAUUUCCUUAAAAUCAGCAAGUGAACAGCCCAUGUUUGCUCGUCUGCUGUUACAUUUUCUACCCCCUUGAACAAGAGCCACCUCCGCUCAGGGCUCCUCCCUGCAAGGAAGCUGAAAGCUGUGCGGGGCUCAGCAGCGCUGCCAUCAGAAAGGGAAAGGGGAGCAGGGAGGAGGGGCGGCCUGUGAGCCAGGCUGGGGGUGAGCUCGGACACCUGAAGGGGGAAGCAGCCAGCGU
This is a long non-coding RNA of Manis pentadactyla (Chinese pangolin), 3203 nucleotides long. RefSeq lists it as uncharacterized. NCBI's taxonomy places the organism in Eukaryota, Metazoa, Chordata, Mammalia, Pholidota, Manidae. The transcript has 3 exons. The record is from RefSeq and is a predicted model, not a curated record.